UACUAGAGUAGCACUCGCAUAUCAAUAAGCGGAGGAAAAGAAACUAACAAGGAUUCCCCUAGUAACGGCGAGUGAAGCGGGAAGAGCUCAAAUUUGAAAUCUUAAAGGGUUUCCCUUUACGAAUUGUAGUUUAAAGAAGUGUUUUCUGUUGAGGUUUUGGUAAAAGUUCUUUGGAAUAGGACAUCAUAGAGGGUGAGAAUCCCGUAUUUGACCUUUACUUUCAACUUUGUGAUACACUUUCAAAGAGUCGGAUUGUUUGGGAAUGCAGUCCAAAAUGGGUGGUAAAUUUCAUCUAAAGCUAAAUAUUGGCGAGAGACCGAUAGCGAACAAGUACCGUGAGGGAAAGAUGAAAAGAACUUUGAAAAGAGAGUUAAACAGUACGUGAAAUUGUCAAAAGGGAAGCGUUUGACACCAGUGUUGUUUUUCUGAAAAUCAAUUAAAGAACUGUUUAUGCUAAGUUGUUUAGACUUUAUCAGCUAACUGUUUAGUUUUGAGCUUUUCUUUAAUGCACUUUUCAGUUAACAAGUCAACAUCAAUUUCUUUUGCUGUAAAAAAGCUUGAGGAAGGUGGCUUGAGAUUCGUCUUAAGUGUUUAUAGCCUCUUGCCUAUGCAGUCGGAGAGAUUGAGGUCUGCAGCGUAGAUCCUUCGGGGCUAAAUGCAUUUGUGCUAAGUUAUAGCAUUUUAUAGACAACUUGUUGACUAUGAUUUGUCUUGUAGCUUACUCGCUUAUGUUAUUUUACCUACGCUUAGGAUGUUGAACUCUAUCACACACAG
RNAcentral lists this ribosomal RNA (774 nucleotides) under uncultured Neocallimastigales. RNAcentral's name for it is "partial large subunit ribosomal RNA". It matches the Rfam family "Eukaryotic large subunit ribosomal RNA", at positions 20 to 627 of the family's 3401-position model. The record is from RNAcentral. Lineage: Eukaryota; Fungi; Neocallimastigomycota; Neocallimastigomycetes; Neocallimastigales.